CCUACGGGCGGCAGCAGUGAGGAAUAUUGGUCAAUGGACGAGAGUCUGAACCAGCCAAGUAGCGUGAAGGAUGACUGCCCUAUGGGUUGUAAACUUCUUUUAUAUGGGAAUAAAAUGUUCCACGUGUGGGAUUUUGUAUGUACCAUAUGAAUAAGGAUCGGCUAACUCCGUGCCAGCAGCCGCGGUAAUACGGAGGAUCCGAGCGUUAUCCGGAUUUAUUGGGUUUAAAGGGAGCGUAGGUGGAUUGUUAAGUCAGUUGUGAAAGUUUGCGGCUCAACCGUAAAAUUGCAGUUGAAACUGGCAGUCUUGAGUACAGUAGAGGUGGGCGGAAUUCGUGGUGUAGCGGUGAAAUGCUUAGAUAUCACGAAGAACUCCGAUUGCGAAGGCAGUUCACUGGACUGCAACUGACACUGAGGCUCGAAAGUGUGGGUAUCAAACAGGAUUAGAUACCCUUGUAAUC
Molecule: ribosomal RNA, 460 nt
Filed under: uncultured bacterium
Lineage: Bacteria
Description: partial 16S ribosomal RNA
Rfam family: Bacterial small subunit ribosomal RNA
Source: RNAcentral